RNAcentral lists this long non-coding RNA (437 nucleotides) under Pan troglodytes (chimpanzee). Its description in RNAcentral is "long non-coding RNA NONPTRT001891". The record is from RNAcentral. Lineage: Eukaryota; Metazoa; Chordata; Mammalia; Primates; Hominidae.
GAAGUCAUUUUUUCUCACAGAUUCUUGAAAAUAACCAUACCUCUUCUUUAAGUCUUAAUCCAAACUGUCGGAAAGAAAUAAUGCAGCAGAUAAAUAUUUGAAGUAAUAAUGACGAGGAGCAUUCCCAAAUUAAUAACAGAUGUCAAAUCACCAAUAGAAGAAGCAUAGGGAACUGUAAGAAGAAUAAACUCAAAAAAAUAGGAGGAAGAGAGAGAAGGAGGGAAAACAAAGAGGGAAGAAGGAAGGCAGACAAACUAUACCCAAGCAUAUCAUAUUCAAACUACAGAAAACCAAAGACAAAGAGAAAAACUUCAAAGAAUCUAAGUGAGGGGAAAAGAUACCUUAAGAGAGAGUGGAAUGAAAUAUUUAAAGUGUUAAAACAAAACAAAACACCAGCUAGGAAUUCCCUAUCCAGUGGAAUUAUCCCUUAAAAGUGC